UUUCCGUAGGUGAACCUGCGGAAGGAUCAUUAAUGAAUUACCGAGUUGUGAUGGCCGUCCCUGUCCCGAGAGGUCGUGCACGCCCGAGUGACCUCACCCACACCCAUCUUAUCCCUCUGUGAACCACCGAGUGGGAUCCCGCUUGGUAUGUUCGGAUGGGGGCUUACGUUUUUACUCAUACUUUCUAUGCAGUGCUGAAUGAAUUUUUUGUUGUUGCGAUCCUGUAAUCAAUACAACUUUUAACACCGGAUCUCUUGUCUCUCGCAUCUAUGAAGAACA
Molecule: unclassified non-coding RNA, 279 nt
Filed under: plant metagenome
Description: partial contains small subunit ribosomal RNA, internal transcribed spacer 1, and 5.8S ribosomal RNA
Source: RNAcentral